RNAcentral lists this ribosomal RNA (420 nucleotides) under bacterium. RNAcentral describes it as "partial 16S ribosomal RNA". It matches the Rfam family "Bacterial small subunit ribosomal RNA", at positions 355 to 776 of the family's 1533-position model. The record is from RNAcentral.
UGGGGGAUAUUGCACAAUGGGCGAAAGCCUGAUGCAGCGACGCCGCGUGGGGGGUGAAGGCUUUCGGGUUGUAAACCUCUUUCGCUAUCGAACAAGGCCCGCUUAGGGUGGGUUGAGGGUAGGUGGAGAAGAAGCGCCGGCUAACUACGUGCCAGCAGCCGCGGUAAUACGUAGGGCGCGAGCGUUGUCCGGAAUGAUUGGGCGGAAAGGGCUUGUAGGCGGGUUGUUGCGCCUGCUGUGAAAACGCGGGGCUUAACUUCGCGCGUGCAGUGGAUACGGGCAGGCUUGAGUGUGGUAGGGGUGACUGGAAUUCCAGGUGUAGCGGUGGAAUGCGCAGAUAUCUGGAGGAACACCGAUGGCGAAGGCAGGUCACUGGGCCAUUACUGACGCUGAGGAGCGAAAGCAUGGGUAGCGAACAGG